Molecule: ribosomal RNA, 119 nt
Filed under: Pteropus alecto (black flying fox)
Lineage: Eukaryota; Metazoa; Chordata; Mammalia; Chiroptera; Pteropodidae
Source: RNAcentral
GUCUAUGGCCAUGCCACCCUGAACAAACCCGAUCCUGUCUGAUCUCGGAAGCUAAGCAGGGUCAGGCCUGAUUAGUACUUAGAUGGGAGACCACCUAGGAAGACCAGGUGCUGUAGGCA